CACCAUCAAAGUAUAAAGUUCAUCAACUGCUGGAAAGGGCGCACAUCUUUGUACAAGUGUCGUUCAUCAUGUACAAUCUUUGUACAAGUGUCGUCAUCAUCAUCUCCAUUACGUAGUAUUUGACGCAUCUAGCUGGUUGGUUCGUCCUUCUUAAGAGGCUGUUAACAUCGUCAUUCGGUUAAGUUUUGUCCUUGAUCAAUGGCGC
Molecule: long non-coding RNA, 205 nt
Filed under: Mytilus galloprovincialis (Mediterranean mussel)
Lineage: Eukaryota; Metazoa; Mollusca; Bivalvia; Mytilida; Mytilidae
Source: RNAcentral